RNAcentral lists this ribosomal RNA (469 nucleotides) under uncultured bacterium 3224pcr. RNAcentral's name for it is "partial 16S ribosomal RNA". The record is from RNAcentral.
ACGUAUUCACCGUAGCAUUCUGAUCUACGAUUACUAGCGAUUCCGACUUCAUGGAGUCGAGUUGCAGACUCCAAUCCGGACUACGACGCACUUUAUGAGGUCCGCUUGCUCUCGCGAGGUCGCUUCUCUUUGUAUGCGCCAUUGUAGCACGUGUGUAGCCCUACUCGCAAGGGCCAUGAUGACUUGACGUCAUCCCCACCUUCCUCCAGUUUAUCACUGGCAGUCUCCUUGAGUUCCCGGCCUAACCGCUGGCAACAAAGGAUAAGGGUUGCGCUAGGUUGCGGGCUUAACCCAACAUUCACAACACGAGCUGACGACAGCCAUGCAGCACCUGUCUCAGAGUUCCCGAAGGCACCAAUCCAUCUCUGGAAAGUUCUCUGGACGUCAAGAGUAGGUAAGGUUCUUCGCGUUGCAUCGAAUUAAACCACAUGCUCCACCGCUUGUGCGGGCCCCCGUCAAUUCCUUUGAA